Molecule: transfer RNA, 92 nt
Filed under: Corchorus capsularis
Lineage: Eukaryota; Viridiplantae; Streptophyta; Magnoliopsida; Malvales; Malvaceae
Rfam family: tRNA
About the family: Transfer RNA (tRNA) molecules are approximately 80 nucleotides in length. Their secondary structure includes four short double-helical elements and three loops (D, anti-codon, and T loops).
Source: Rfam by way of RNAcentral
GAGAGGAUGGCUGAGUGGACUAAAGCGUCGGAUUGCUAAUCCGUUGUGCGAGUUAUUCCGUACCCGAGGGUUCCGAAAUCCCCCUCUCUUCC